GGGCCCGUAGCUCAGUUUGGAUAGAGUACUUGGUUCCGGACCAAGAUGUCAGGGGUUCAAAUCCCCUCGGGUCCG
RNAcentral lists this transfer RNA (75 nucleotides) under Halodesulfurarchaeum formicicum. It matches the Rfam family "tRNA". From Rfam's summary of the family: Transfer RNA (tRNA) molecules are approximately 80 nucleotides in length. The record is from Rfam by way of RNAcentral. Lineage: Archaea; Methanobacteriati; Methanobacteriota; Halobacteria; Halobacteriales; Halobacteriaceae. RNAcentral also lists the same sequence under 2 other names.